GGGGCUCGCGCCGUCUGGAGCUGCGUUGCUCCGUCCUCCCCAUCGCUUCGUGUGCGAGCGGCCCGGCCACGCCUCUUUCCCCUCAGAUUGGACAGAGAAUCUCUGUGGAGGCCUUUGCCCUGCAGGUUGCUACUGCUGUGGUUAGGGUUGCACACCUAAAGGUGAAGCGUGACCCCUGACACUGAACAAUGGGGAGACCCAGGAAAAACCCUGACAGCACAGCCUCA
Molecule: long non-coding RNA, 227 nt
Organism: Terrapene triunguis (Three-toed box turtle)
Lineage: Eukaryota; Metazoa; Chordata; Testudines; Emydidae
Exons: 3
Source: RefSeq, a predicted model, not a curated record